This is a long non-coding RNA of Medicago truncatula (barrel medic), 3383 nucleotides long. RefSeq lists it as uncharacterized. The record is from RefSeq and is a predicted model, not a curated record. NCBI's taxonomy places the organism in Eukaryota, Viridiplantae, Streptophyta, Magnoliopsida, Fabales, Fabaceae. The transcript is spliced from 3 exons.
AAUUCAAAUUUCAAAUCCCUUCACUUUUAUCCAUCAAACAUUGGUAUUCCAUCAAACAUUCAAUGCUUGCUUCUUUCCGAGGCAUGCACAUGGCUCAAAAUUUGGCUUCAAUCUUACCCACUCUUCUCAAUCCAAAGGCAUCUGAACCAUCCCUAACAAAACUAUUUCCUUGCCUUUUGUUCUCUCUCUCUCUCUCCUAUCAUCUCACGCCCAUUUUUCUCUGAUAUGAGAAAUUCAUCUUCCAUUUUCAGUCCCUCUUCUCUCUCUCACUCCAGUUACCCUUCUAAAAAACCAAGUGACGAUAUCACAAGUGACGAAUCCGGAGAAGACAAAGAUGGAGAAGAUUACGUUUUUAUUGUGUGCCUCGGCCUUUAAGGAACUGAUUUGCGGUUCUUGCUCAAUUCCUAUCCCAUUGAUUAAUUUCGUCAGCUUAUGUCGUUACAUGUUCAAUUCACCAUGUGUUUCCGGCAACAGAGUUGUUCUUCUCGACACACGCUAUUUUUUUAAGGGUUGUCUUUGAAGCUCGCACUCCUGCUACUAAAAAAAAACAAAGAAUGGCAAGAGCAACUUCCCGUUGUUGUUCUCAAAGCUGAAGAAAUCAUGUAUUCCAAAGAAAUCAUGUUAUCCCUUUGAGAACCCCAUUCAAGAAUCAAAUAUGUCCAACAAAAUGAAUGAUGCACGAGUUACAGGAGCGAAGUUUGCUGCUGAAGUUAUCAAUUUCCUUUAACUAAUAAAUCAUUGCUGGUUAAAGCUGGUUUCAAGAAUUUCUAGCUAUUGUGGAAUUGAAAGCAUAAAGUGAUGGUCUUUAUUAAGUGACUGAAGUUGGCGGUCUGCUAUGGAAUGCUUCAGAAGACUCCAGGAAAUUGGUUUUCAAAUUACUCAUUUAGUGACAUUUUGGGAUUGACUUAGUACACUUGCAUUGCAUCUUAGGACACUUGAUUUCAUUAGUCUUAUAUAGUGGCGUAAUCUGAUCUAAAUGUGUUUUUGGUUUCCCUUUUGAAUUUGUUGGUAGUCAUAUGAUGCACUUAAGUUGAGACUUCAUAAAUAUAUUGCUUUGAUUGAAGGGAAGAAAAAUUCAAAAGUUGUUAGUGUUCAUAUUCUCAAGUUAUUGUCUUUUUAAUAUUCUUUUUUUGUUAUCAUUCAUUUACAGGUUCCAUGAGAUCAAGGACACCACUAUAUCAAUGAGUUAUGAAUUAACCAAUCGAAUAGCUCUACUUCGUUGUAUAUGAAAUCCAAAGGAGUGUUUACAAAGGGGAUGACAGUUGAGAGGGCAAGCCUCGGGUCUGUUGCUGCUGUUAGGUGCUUUUUUCCUGUCAGUUUUUUCACCGUCUGCUGGUCUGGUGUGUGGCUUUGGCUGCAGUUUUUGUUUCGGUCCUGUUUUAGGCGUUAUGCGCAAUGGUGAUUUUGAUUUGUUGGUUUGUAUUGUGAUGGGGUAGGGUAUUUUGGUUUCCUAUUGGUUGCUUGCCGCAUACAUAAGGCUUCCGUAAUUAUGUUUGUUUCUUUGCAUGUUUUGUGCAAAUUAGCUGUUAAAUAUAUAUGUUGCUUUUAAAAAAAAAAUAGCUCUACUUCAUCUUUUAUCACAACUAUUUUAAUAAUUGAUUUUUUAUUUUUUAGUAGUUGGAAGUGAUUCUUCAACAUAAUCAAGUUUUACCUUUCUCACAAAUAAUCUGUUUCUUUGGUUCUUGACAUAUUUUAAGGUAACACACGAGGAAAACAAUUUUCUAGGAUCCUGCUAGCUUUAUUUACGAAGCUGUUUUCAAUACUUAUUUUUGAAAGAAUUUCUAAUAUGUGAUUGUUUUUAUUUUUGGUUUCUAUGGUAAAAUUGCUUCAUUCAAAUGUUAAGCGAACAUAAGAUACAAUCACUAUAGCUCAGAGGAUCAAGAAGCAACUUGAAGAUGGUAAUGUUUUUUAUGCACCCAACUCAUGGAGUGAAUUUGAGUCUGUGAUUUCUACUAGCAGCAAAUAUGAGGUAAUUUUCAUUCAACUUCUAUUUAUCCCAUAAAAGAGUGCCCUUUCUAACCACAAUGCAGCUUCGACACAUCAAAGUGGUUGUGUGUGUCAUUCAUACCUCCUAACUAAAAUGCAUUAAUUUUUUUGUUCAAUAUCGGAUUUUUUACAAUGAAGUGGUACUCCAAAUAUCAUAUAUCGACAAGGACGAGAGGUCUUCUCCUCUUGGUGGUGAUGGCGAUAUUGACACUUUACUAAAUUGUGAUGCAAGGAAGUUAAAGAUCAUCCCUAAGAUUGUCAUGCAAGUCUUUAAUUAUGCAACCAUGAAUAAAGAAUUGUUCUAACUUGCCGUGACAGCGGAAAUCAUGUGUAUAUGAAGGCAGGAGUGAUUGUUUUCCAUCUAGCCGGAGCAAGCAGACAGCUGCUGCUCUCAAAUUAACACGGGACCUGCAGAAAGAUUAGCUGCCACAAGAGAGUGUAGACCAAUUUGUUGUGUAUGUGCUUCUACCUAUCCGCUGAUGGCUGCCACUUUAACUAACAUAAAUGAUUUCUCCACCAAACUUUAGGUUGAUCCUUCUAUUGGAAUGUUACUUCAUGAUUUUCCUCAAUUUAGACGUGGCUUGAUUUUAUUGUCAAAAUAUACCAUUAUGAAAAACAAAUUUCUAAAAAAAUGUCUUGUGCUCAAACUUUUCUCUUUGUGCAUGUAUGAUGACAUAUAAUUCAUUUGGCAGCAUGUAAUUUCUUUUGUUGCAGGUAUAUGUAUAAUUUACAUGAUACCAUUUAAUUUCUUCAACUCCCACAUGUUUUAGCAUUGUCUUUUUAUGUCACUUGGGCUGCUUAAAUUGUGUUUGCAAUUGAUAUAUAUGGUAUUGUCAAAAUAUACAAGAGAAACAAGAAUUUAUGAUACUGCUUUUCUAAUAUGAAGUUGAGAAUUUAUGAUGCAGGGACUGAAUGUGCAGGAUUAGAAAACCUUUGCAAUUAUGUUUUGGUUCAUAUGGCGUCGUUAAAAUGAAAAAGUCUGGCACAAUUUCAGUUCAUGACACGCAUGACGUGCAAUCUGAUUGGCAGCAGCUGCACGCUAAGCACAGUGCAGCAGCUGCAAACAGUAGCACUGACAAUUUUAGCAGCACUAUUGGAGUUCCAUGGUGGACUAAGCCACCAAAUAGAGAGAUAAAAUGCAAUGUCGACAGAACAUCUCUUUCACAAUUACCGUAUUUAUCAUAUAACCAUAUAAUCUUCAUAACCCAAAGAGUGGUGAUCACCGCUAUUCAGGAACAAGUUUUUAUUGUGUUAUUCUUCAAUGUUAAAUCACCGCUAUUUAGGACGAAUAUUGAGUUGUCUAAAAUAUGUUAUUUGUGGCUGCACUACACUUGUUUACAAAGAAAUUUUCCGCAAUGUACUAACAUGAACUCAAUUUAAUUGUAUUUUAUUAGUCA